This is a long non-coding RNA of Cornus florida, 598 nucleotides long. RefSeq lists it as uncharacterized. Lineage: Eukaryota; Viridiplantae; Streptophyta; Magnoliopsida; Cornales; Cornaceae. The record is from RefSeq and is a predicted model, not a curated record. The transcript is spliced from 2 exons.
ACAUAUGUAGGUGUAUGUCGUUGCACCAUAUCCAUUCAUUUUAUAACAUAUAGUAUGCCUAGUGUUUUGUUCUUAGAAACCAUUUUGGCAAAACCCAAUUUUCGUGCAUUCUAUUUCCUUUCCAUAGUGAUACCUUUUAAGCUCAAUUUUGGAAGCUUUGUGUUGGGAUUUUGAUGGGGCUUUGUGAAGGAAAAAUGUUCCUUAGAUAGUGAGGGUUCUUUUGAUAUUAAACUUGAAUCCAUUUCUUUUGUUGCUGGGUUUGGAAAGUGGUGUUAAAAGAAGAGGGUUUUGGUUGCAAAUAAAGAAGGAAGUGUUCUUCAUUUUCUACCUUGGAAGGCUUUGAUCCAUCAUUUGAGUUGCUUUAAGUUGUGAUUGUUGCUGAGUUUCAAGCUUCUUUGAGGUCAUGGCACGGAUGGAAUGGAAGGUGUUCCUCCUCAGUUGUAGAUAGAGUCGGGGCUAGUGUUGUAGUGUUUUGUUCCGCAUAAUAGACUAUAUUUUGUCUUAUAUUUCUUUAGAAUUUUCCUGGCAUGUAAUAAAUGUUCUUUCAGACUUUAAAACUUUAAAGUUUUAAUAUUGGCAUCUUAUCUAUUUAUUUUCA